AACGCAUAUUGCGCUCUCUGGUAUUCCGGAGAGUAUGCCUGUUUCAGUAUCAGUAAACACCAUCAAACAACCUCCAAGAGUGGAGGCGGUUUGGAUUUGAGUGUUUGCCGAGAAAAAACUUUGCCUUUUUUUUCGGCCCGCUCGAAAUGCAAGUACACAGGAUAGGAUUCCCCAGAACCCCCCCGAGGUGUGAAAAAAAAAGCGUAGUAGUUGACUUUAUUGUCUUCUUUCGCUGAAAAAAGAACGCCCGGUUUUUUUCUGGACCUUUGCUGUGCAAAUUCGCAGGAAGAAAAAGGAAUAUUUCCUUCUUCACUUCUUGAUCUGAAAUCAGGUAGGACUACCCGCUGAACUUAA
RNAcentral lists this unclassified non-coding RNA (354 nucleotides) under uncultured Mortierella. Its description in RNAcentral is "partial contains 5.8S ribosomal RNA, internal transcribed spacer 2, and large subunit ribosomal RNA". Lineage: Eukaryota; Fungi; Mortierellomycota; Mortierellomycetes; Mortierellales; Mortierellaceae. The record is from RNAcentral.